This 76-nucleotide small RNA is filed under the name Flavobacterium segetis. RNAcentral's name for it is "Flavo-1 RNA". It matches the Rfam family "Flavo-1 RNA". Lineage: Bacteria; Pseudomonadati; Bacteroidota; Flavobacteriia; Flavobacteriales; Flavobacteriaceae. The record is from RNAcentral.
AUUUAGCCUUGAUAGUAGCGGCAUCCUUUAUAUUUGGGUUUCAAGUAUAAAGAUAUAGCGAAUAGCACGACCAAUU